CUUGGUCAUUUAGAGGAAGUAAAAGUCAUAACAAGGUUUCCGUAGGUGAACCUGCGGAAGGAUCAUUAAUAGUGCCCAUUGAUGCAAAUCAUUGGGUUAGAUCUGCCCUUAUCGCAAGAUGAGGGCUUCCAUAUACACCGUGAACUGUGGCUUCGGCCAUCACAAACUGUUAGUAAUGAAUGUAAUAUCAUAACAAAAACAAAACUUUUAACAACGGAUCUCUUGGCUCUCGCAUCGAUGAAGAACGCAGCGAAAUGCGAUAAGUAAUGUGAAUUGCAGAAUUCAGUGAAUCAUCGAAUCUUUGAACGCACCUUGCGCCCUUUGGUAUUCCGAAGGGCAUGCCUGUUUGAGUGUCAUGAAACCUCACCCCACUUAGGUUUUUGCCUAAGCGGUGGUGUAUUGGGUGUUUGCCUUGCUAAAGGCUCGCCUUAAAGAUAUAAGCACCUUGGAUGUAAUACGUUUCAUCCUUCUGGGUGGCUGAUAACCCCACAUAUUCAUGAUCUGGCCUCAAAUCAGGUAGGGCUACCCGCUGAACUUAAGCAUAUCAAUAAGCGGAGGAAAAGAAACUAACUAGGAUUCCCUUAGUAACGGCGAGUGAACCGGGAUGAGCUCAAAUUUAAAAUCUGGCGUCUUUCAGGCGUCCGAGUUGUAAUCUAUAGAGGCGUUUUCCGCGCCGGACCGCGUCCAAGUCUCUUGGAAUAGAGUAUCAAAGAGGGUGACAGUCCCGUACUUGACGCGACAACCGGUGCUCUGUGAUACGUUCUCAAUGARKSGRGUUGUUUGGGAAU
Molecule: small RNA, 788 nt
Filed under: uncultured Cryptococcus
Lineage: Eukaryota; Fungi; Basidiomycota; Tremellomycetes
Description: eukaryotic LSU rRNA
Rfam family: Eukaryotic large subunit ribosomal RNA (bases 503-788)
Source: RNAcentral